This 492-nucleotide ribosomal RNA is filed under the name uncultured bacterium. RNAcentral's name for it is "partial 16S ribosomal RNA". It matches the Rfam family "Bacterial small subunit ribosomal RNA", at positions 29 to 507 of the family's 1533-position model. The record is from RNAcentral.
AGUGAACGCUGGCGGUAGGCCUAACACAUGCAAGUCGAACGGCAGCACAGUAAGAGCUUGCUCUUACGGGUGGCGAGUGGCGGACGGGUGAGGAAUACAUCGGAAUCUACUUUUUCGUGGGGGAUAACGUAGGGAAACUUACGCUAAUACCGCAUACGACCUACGGGUGAAAGCAGGGGAUCUUCGGACCUUGCGCGAUUGAAUGAGCCGAUGUCGGAUUAGCUAGUUGGCGGGGUAAAGGCCCACCAAGGCGACGAUCCGUAGCUGGUCUGAGAGGAUGAUAAGCCACACUGGAACGGAGACACGGUCAAGACUCCUACGGGAGGGAGCAGUGGGGAAUAUUGGACAAUGGGCGCAAGCCUGAUCCAGCCAUACCGCGUGGGUGAAGAAGGCCUUCGGGUUGUAAAGCCCUUUUGUUGGGAAAGAAAAGCAGCAGGUUAAUACCCCGCUGUUCUGACGGUACCCAAAGAAUAAGCACCGGCUAACUUCGUG